Myotis myotis is the source of this 2088-nucleotide long non-coding RNA. RefSeq lists it as uncharacterized. The transcript has 4 exons. Lineage: Eukaryota; Metazoa; Chordata; Mammalia; Chiroptera; Vespertilionidae. The record is from RefSeq and is a predicted model, not a curated record.
UCACCAAUUGAUGUGUCUCUCUCACAUUGAUGUUUCUCUCUGUCUCGCCCCCUCCUUUCCACUCUCUCUAAAAAUCAAUGGAAAGGUAUCCUUGGAUAAGGAUUAACAACAACAACAACAAAGAACCAAUCCAUGGCUAACCUUGAGGGCAAGGCCACCGAAGCAGGGAAAGAUGCCAAUGCGUGUGGUUGCUAGUGGCCUGUUUCCCUCCGUGGCUUGAAACACCAUGAUGGCACUGUUCAUUCUCCAACUCGGGGCACUACAGGGACGCCCCACUUUCAGAAGUUUGAGUUACACGCCACUUUGCUUUCGCCAAAGACCUAGCUUGGUACCUGUUUUCGCUGAACGAAAGGAAUUCCAAGAGGGUUUUUACUUUUAUGAAAAGAAGUCGAAAAGAGGCAAAAUGCAGGGGAGCCAUGAGAGUGACCCCGCCAAGCUCCUUCCCCAGAACCACACCCAGCAGCUCAGCAUCAGGCCGCCUAGCUUUGUGCUGUGCCUGUGAGCAUCUCUGCUUCAUCUUGAUGUGUUCUGUGAGUCCGUUAGCAAGAUGUGUCCUAAUGUAUCAAAAGCCUAAGAGAGGUAGGGCCCCUAGCUGGUGUGGGUCAGUGGAUAGAGCGUCGGCCUGCAGACUGAAGGGUCCUGGGUUUGAUUCUGUUCAGGGGCACAGGCCCGGGUUGUGGACUCGAUCUCCAGUAGGGAGGCAGCUGAUCAAUGAUUCUCUUUCAUCAUUGAUGUUUUUCUCUCUCCCACUCCCUUUCUCUCUGAAAUCAAUUAUAUAUAUAAAGCUUUUUAAAAAAGCAUAAGAGAGGAUAUUUUUGGGGGGUCUGAAAUUCUCAAAAAAUUUCCGUAUAAAUCAAGGGUACAUGCCUCUUCACUUUAUGCCAUUUCAGCUUACGGAUAACAGGGGAAACUUGUACAGUUUACUUUGACCCAAGUUUAAGUUUACCGUGACUUUUCUGUUGUACAUAGAUUCAAACACUUGUGACUGAUUUUGUAGCAUGAACAGAACUCUGAUUUAUGUGAUACAAUUUGCAGAGUUGACGGGCCUUGAGUUGUAUGAAUUGGGUGGAAAGGAUGCAUUUUCCUCCCAGCGAGAGAAAGACAUUUCCCCCUACUCCAGCAGGAAAAGAAGUCCCUGCACUUCCACUCACCUGUUCAUUGACUCGCUUGCAGAAGAUGGCGAGCAGGAAGACAGCGGCGAUGGGCGGCCCCAGGUAGCUAGAGAUGGAUUCUAUGUAAUGAAACAGCUGUCCGUUUUGAGACACUUGUACCAGCGGGACCCACAAAAUGCUGAUGAUAAUUAACAGGAUGAUGAACAGCCUGGGAAGCAAACAAAAGGAAGGGAUGAUUAAGCGGAAGCAUCACUGAGAAAUUUAAGACAGAAACCAGGGUUCUCUCACCUCCCAGCGAUCAGGAGCUCCCUCUCCGAGGCCUGCUUCCGGAUCUUCGUGUAGAGGUCCAUGGUGAAGAGGGUGCUGGCGCUGUUGAAGAUGGAGGUCAGGGAGCUCAUGAGAGAUGCCAACAUGACUGACAGCAUCAGGCCUCGCAGCCCUGCGGCCGGAAGAGGAGGCAACCACGAGUUAGGAACUGGACGCCAUGAGCUGUGAUCACUUGCCAACCAGAGGGCCAUUCAAAGGUUUUCAGGAAAAUAAACACGUUUUCUCCAGGCCCAGUUGUGAAAACAUGAAAUGAGGAUGCGGCUGAUCAUUCCUGGCAUCACCAUGAGGAACAUGGGCAGCAGCUUCAGGUACCCACACAUGAUGCAGGCGGCCUUCACGUGGGACAUGUCCUUGCCGGAGAGGCAGCGCUGCACGAUGACCUGCCGGGAGAACACGCCUCGUCAUGGGACAGCCGGAGGACACAUACGGGAGGGGAGCGCCUCUUCAGGGACUAGCGUGCCAAUGAGAAGUGGGACGGUGACGAGAGAAGAAUGAGCUUCGGAGGAAAAUCCGGAUUUGGAUCCCCGCUCCUCCCACAUGAGCAUUUGACUUCUGUGAGUUUCAGGUUUCUCAUCUGUAAAUAGGGUUCUUUCUUUCUUUUUGUAAAAAAGUAUAUUGAUAUUGACGACAGAGAGGAAGGGAGAGGGAG